This 800-nucleotide ribosomal RNA is filed under the name Tetragonula hirashimai. RNAcentral's name for it is "eukaryotic LSU rRNA". It matches the Rfam family "Eukaryotic large subunit ribosomal RNA", at positions 402 to 927 of the family's 3401-position model. Lineage: Eukaryota; Metazoa; Arthropoda; Insecta; Hymenoptera; Apidae. The record is from RNAcentral.
AAACCGUUCAGGGGUAAACCUGAGAAACCCAAAAGAUCGAAUGGGGAGAUUCAUCGUCGACGGCGUUGGCUACCGUUUGUGCGCGAUGCUCCGGGUGGGACCCUGCGGUUCCAUUAGCGAGGGCACGCCACCUUCGGAUCGAACUUUCCUGCGUCGUAGUCGUGCACUUCUCCCCUAGUAGGACGUCGCGACCCGUUGUGUGUCGGUCUACGGCCCGAGCGGGAGACUGUCGCGUCGCUUCGGCGCACGCGGCAGACCCUCGGUCGCCCGGCCGGCUGCACGACGGUACACCAACGGUAUCGGGCCGCAGCCAAUCCAUUCUCGAAUGUGUGUGCGUCCAUCCCGCCGCAAGCUCGGUCAGUUCUUACCCGGAGGUACGGACCCUGUGCCGUCCCCGGGCCUGGCCAGCUGUUAGCAGGCGGUGUCCUCGGACCGGCCAAACCUCGGAUUACCGGUCGGCGACGCUAUUGCUUUGGGUACUCUCAGGACCCGUCUUGAAACACGGACCAAGGAGUCUAACAUGUGCGCGAGUCAUUGGGAUGCACAAACCUAAAGGCGAAAUGAAAGUGAAAGUCGGCCUUCGCGCCGAUCGAGGGAGGAUGGGCCGCGUAACCAUGCGGCCCCGCACUCCCGGGGCGUCUCGUUCUCACUGCGAGAAGAGGCGCACCUAGAGCGUACACGUUGGGACCCGAAAGAUGGUGAACUAUGCCUGGUCAGGACGAAGUCAGGGGAAACCCUGAUGGAGGUCCGUAGCGAUUCUGACGUGCAAAUCGAUCGUCGGAACUGGGUAUAGGGGCGAA